RNAcentral lists this ribosomal RNA (500 nucleotides) under uncultured bacterium. RNAcentral's name for it is "bacterial SSU rRNA". It matches the Rfam family "Bacterial small subunit ribosomal RNA", at positions 28 to 526 of the family's 1533-position model. The record is from RNAcentral.
GACGAACGCUGGCGGCGUGCCUAACACAUGCAAGUCGAACGGAGUUGUGUCACGAAGUUCUUCGGAGCGGACGACAUAGCUUAGUGGCGGACGGGUGAGUAACGCGUGAGCAACCUGCCUUUCAGAGGGGGACAACGGUUGGAAACGACCGCUAAUACCGCAUGAUAUGACUGGACCGCAUGAUCCGGUCAUCAAAGAUUUUAUCGCUGAAAGAUGGGCUCGCGUCUGAUUAGAUAGUUGGUGGGGUAACGGCCCACCAAGUCGACGAUCAGUAGCCGGACUGAGAGGUUGAACGGCCACAUUGGGACUGAGAUACGGCCCAGACUCCUACGGGAGGCAGCAGUGGGGAAUAUUGGGCAAUGGGGGCAACCCUGACCCAGCAACGCCGCGUGAAGGAAGAAGGCUUUCGGGUUGUAAACUUCUUUUACCGAGGACGAAGAACGUGACGGUACUCGGAGAAAAAGCCACGGCUAACUACGUGCCAGCCGCCGCCGUAACAC